Non-coding RNA from Pelobates cultripes (western spadefoot toad), 448 nucleotides. Lineage: Eukaryota; Metazoa; Chordata; Amphibia; Anura; Pelobatidae. The record is from the annotation of a GenBank genome assembly.
GCAAAUCCAUGACCAUGAGGAUUCUUAGCAGUGUGAUAAAGCUUGGUGUGAUCAACUCUACAGUAUGUAUAUAGUAUAUCAUUGCACUGAGUUUUGUAGACAGGGACAAAAAAAGCAAAACAAAAAAAUCCUUUCAUCUGUCUAACUUUGCAGUAGCUUGUUUAUAGUAAUGUUAACUUAUUUUACCUGCUGUAGUGACUUUUAUGUGUGUAUGUUUAUGUAUGUUUCAUGUUGUGACCUCUACUGUAAUGUAAAGGUUUACAUUACAUGGUUUAUGGUGCAUCUGUCUCUUUUAGUUCUGUAGAAUAUAGUUUGUAUAUUCAUGGAGUACUGAGGCUUAUUACUGCGCAUUCACGUUGUAGUAACUGCACCUUGUGAUAUUUUAUUAUGAUUUGCUUGACUCCAUUAUUAAGGCAAAUCAGGUUAUUAUUAAAAUGACACUCUUAGC